Coffea arabica (coffee) is the source of this 805-nucleotide non-coding RNA. The record is from RefSeq and is a predicted model, not a curated record. NCBI's taxonomy places the organism in Eukaryota, Viridiplantae, Streptophyta, Magnoliopsida, Gentianales, Rubiaceae.
UGUACAUUUCCGCCAUUAACUACCUAGGAGCGAUCAUACACUUCUCACAAAAGAAAGCAAUCUGGUUCUUCUUCUUCAUUCACUUCUGAUCUUUUUGGGUCCAAGGAGUCCUCUGCUUCAUCCUCUUCAUCGAUAUUUGAGUCCAUCUUGGUGCCGUCUCCAAAGCUUUGGUACCACAACUCCGGUGCUCUUCUUAGUACGCAUCAUACUUUUUUUCUUGAACCUUCGGCAGACGUCAAGAAGCCGGCGGUGACUACCUUUCAGGAACCCAUCUAAAGUUUCCUCACCAUGGAAUAUGUCCGCCUACAAGCAUUUCAACAACAACUAGAUUUCAAACUCGCAAGAUUGCAACGGAGGAAACAUUUGCUUAGGAAACGAAACAUACACCGCAACGAUUCCACACACCAGUUGGAAAAGCUUCAUCAAGUUUGCGCUGACGAAAGAUAAAUUUCAAAUCAAAUCCGAAGGACAAAAUCCAGACUACACCGAUUAAAACGUCGCUCGCACCAAAUUAAAAAAUCUGUAAUGGAAGAUAUUAUGUGCACAACCUUCAUUAGAAAUCAACCUUCUUUUCCAGGUCGGUCCCUCUACCUUUUAAGUAUGUUUUGCUUUGCCUUUCCAGGUCGGAUAUUGCUUUGGAAUUUUUCAGAACUUUUAACAAGGUCAAAUAUGUUAAAAUUAAAACGCAAAGAGCGAAAUGAGAAUUAGUCCAAAUCAUGAUUGCCUAAAAUCCUUUUUUUUACAAAAAAAAAGUGAUGAAAAGUACGUGAAAUUAUUAAAAGAAUAUAUUUGGAACUCCAUCUCU